ACGCUCGACACCUACGGGAGACAGCAGUGGGGAAUAUUGCACAAUGGGGGAAACCCUGAUGCAGCGACGCCGCGUGGAGGAAGAAGGUCUUCGGAUUGUAAACUCCUGUUGUUGGGGAAAAAGAGGAUGGUACCCAACAAGGAAGUGACGGCUAACUACGUGCCAGCAGCCCCGGUAAUCUGAGCGGGCUGGCAAGGC
Molecule: ribosomal RNA, 198 nt
Filed under: uncultured bacterium
Lineage: Bacteria
Description: partial 16S ribosomal RNA
Rfam family: Bacterial small subunit ribosomal RNA
Source: RNAcentral